AAACUUAAAGGAAUUGACGGGACCCGCACAAGCGGUGGAGGAUGUGGUUUAAUUCGACGCAACGCGAAGAACCUUACCUAGGCUUGACAUGCUGGUGAAAACCAUGGAAACAUGGUCCUCCCGUAAGGGACAUCAGUACAGGUGGUGCAUGGCUGUCGUCAGCUCGUGUCGUGAGAUGUUGGGUUAAGUCCCGCAACGAGCGCAACCCUUAUUCUUAGUUGUUUCCCUUUGGGAUUACCCUCUAAGAAGACUGCCUCGGAUAACGGGGAGGAAGGUGGGGAUGACGUCAAGUCCGCAUGCUCCUUACGUCUAGGGCUACACACGUCCUACAAUGGGGUCGACAAUGGGAUGCAAUAUCGCAAGAUGGAGCCAAUCCCCAAACGGCCUCUCAGUUCGGAUUGUAGUCUGCAACUCGACUACAUGAAGUUGGAAUCGCUAGUAAUGGCAGAUCAGCAUGCUGCCGUGAAUACGUUCCCGGGUCUU
This 483-nucleotide ribosomal RNA is filed under the name uncultured bacterium. RNAcentral's name for it is "bacterial SSU rRNA". It matches the Rfam family "Bacterial small subunit ribosomal RNA", at positions 897 to 1382 of the family's 1533-position model. The record is from RNAcentral.